AGGUACACUGCCAAGUUCCCACUUUAUCAGUACAUACACGUUUCAAUUAAUCUAUACAUACUUAACUAGAUUUUAACCCGCGGUAUACCGCGGAAUGAUUUAUUUUUUAAAAGUAAUAUAUAUUAAAAUUUGCAAAUUUUAG
Molecule: small RNA, 142 nt
Filed under: Arabidopsis thaliana (thale cress)
Lineage: Eukaryota; Viridiplantae; Streptophyta; Magnoliopsida; Brassicales; Brassicaceae
Description: ATSL189900
Source: RNAcentral